RNAcentral lists this unclassified non-coding RNA (422 nucleotides) under plant metagenome. RNAcentral's name for it is "partial contains 5.8S ribosomal RNA, internal transcribed spacer 2, and large subunit ribosomal RNA". It matches the Rfam family "Bacterial small subunit ribosomal RNA", at positions 358 to 777 of the family's 1533-position model. The record is from RNAcentral.
GGAAUAUUGGUCAAUGGACGCGAGUCUGAACCAGCCAAGUAGCGUGAAGGAUGACUGCCUUAUGGGUUGUAAACUUCUUUUAUAUGGGAAUAAAGUGGUCCACGUGUGGAUUUUUGUAUGUACCAUAUGAAUAAGGAUCGGCUAGCUCCGUGCCAGCAGCCGCGGUAAUACGGAGGAUCCGAGCGUUAUCUGGAUUUAUUGGGUUUAAAGGGAACGCAGGCGGUCUUUUAAGUCUGAUGUGAAAGCCUUCGGCUUAACCGGAGUAGUGCAUUGGAAACUGGGAGACUUGAGUGCAGAAGAGGAGAGUGGAACUCCAUGUGUAGCGGUGAAAUGCGUAGAUAUAUGGAAGAACACCAGUGGCGAAAGCGGCUCUCUGGUCUGUAACUGACGCUGAGGUUCGAAAGCGUGGGUAGCAAACAGGA